UAUGGCAAAUUAUCAAAGGUGUGUAAGAGGCAAACUGCACCAGUUCCCUUAAUUUCCCACCGAUUUUCAUGAAAAUUGCAUUGAUGCAAAGGGUUUUUAAUUUAGAACCAAAAAUGUAUCUAUAAAAAAAAUAAAAAAUUGGAAAUUUCCAGAGUUACAGGAAUAUUUUCAAAAAUAUGGCAAAUUAUCAAAGGUGUGUAAGAGGCAAACUGCACCAGUUCCCUUAAUUUCCCACCGAUUUUCAUGAAAAUUGCAUUGAUGCAAAGGGUUUUUAAUUUAGAACCAAAAAUGUAUCUAUAAAAAAAAUAAAAAAUUGGAAAUUUCCAGAGUUACAGGAAUAUUUUCAAAAAUAUGGCAAAUUAUCAAAGGUGUGUAAGAGGCAAACUGCACCAGUUCCCUUAAUUUCCCACCGAUUUUCAUGAAAAUUGCAUUGAUGCAAAGGGUUUUUAAUUUAGAACCAAAAAUGUAUCUAUAAAAAAAAUAAAAAAUUGG
This 492-nucleotide long non-coding RNA is filed under the name Anthonomus grandis grandis. RNAcentral describes it as "uncharacterized LOC126747276". The record is from RNAcentral. Lineage: Eukaryota; Metazoa; Arthropoda; Insecta; Coleoptera; Curculionidae.